UACGAAGGGGGCUAGCGUUGCUCGGAAUUACUGGGCGUAAAGGGCGCGUAGGCGGCGAACCAAGUCAGAUGUGAAAGUCCUGGGCUUAACCUGGGGACUGCAUUUGAUACUGGUUUGCUUGAAUUCGGGAGAGGAUAGCGGAAUUCCCAGUGUAGAGGUGAAAUUCGUAGAUAUUCGGAAGAACACCAGUGGCGAAGGCGGCUCACUGGUCCGGUACUGACGCUGAUGUGCGAAAGCGUGGGGAGCAAACAGG
RNAcentral lists this ribosomal RNA (253 nucleotides) under uncultured bacterium. RNAcentral describes it as "partial 16S ribosomal RNA". It matches the Rfam family "Bacterial small subunit ribosomal RNA", at positions 524 to 776 of the family's 1533-position model. The record is from RNAcentral.